This 378-nucleotide ribosomal RNA is filed under the name uncultured bacterium. Its description in RNAcentral is "partial 16S ribosomal RNA". It matches the Rfam family "Bacterial small subunit ribosomal RNA", at positions 28 to 416 of the family's 1533-position model. The record is from RNAcentral.
GACAAACGCUGGCGGCGUACCUAAGACAUGCAAGUCGAACGGGGCUCACCGCUUCGGCGGGGAGUCGAGUGGCGGACGGGUGAGUAACGCGUAGGAACCUGUCGAGCAGUGGGGGAUAACGCUGGGAAACCGGCGCUAAUACCGCAUGUGAUCGGGAGACCGAAGAAAGCAGCAAUGCGCUGUUUGAGGGGCCUGCGUCCGAUUAGCUUGUUGGUGGGGUAAGGGCCUACCAAGGCAUCGAUCGGUAGCUGGUCUGAGAGGAUGGUCAGCCACACUGGGACUGAGACACGGCCCAGACUCCUACGGGAGGCAGCAGUUAGGAAAUUUUUCCAAUGGGGGAAACCCUGAGAGAGUAACGCCGCGUGGAGGAUGACGGCC